AAGCUGGCAAACAAAAGGGCGGCCACCAAGUCUACAGCAAACUUCUCCUCUAUCAUUCCGGCUCCACUCUGCAGCUCGUUGACCACCUCAUCGAGGAAAUCACCAUGACGCUUUUCAGGUGUACGGAGCCUUUCUUUCACCUUUGCUUGUAGAAGGACGGGACAUCGAGAGAAGGGCUUGGCUUGAAGAACUGGAAGGUCUCACCGACGAGAGGGAAGCCCAUGGAUCCCGGAGGGAGCCUCCCACUGUUGCAUGGGGGAUUCAUCCACUUGUACACGCAGUGUAGGAGCCAACCUGCUGCAACAACGGCAAGGGCACACAGGGAUGCAUAUUGCACUUGCGAUGAGGACCCCUCCAUCUCAAAAGAUGGGAUUCCCCUCAAAGAUAGAGAUGCUCUAGUCUCUGGAGAUCUUCAAGAGAAGUGAUCUUUGGCUUCUUCGUUCACGUACAGAAGAGAUGCCUCGUACAUGGUGUUUAUAUCGGCCGGCCGGGGGUGUCACACUUUCGGCCUACGUCUCUGCGAUAAACCGUUUCGUUUAACAUAAACUACUCACCACUUUCACGUAAGGACAAGUGUUUCAUGUAUUAUUGCUAUAAGUACAGUACCAGCUGACUUAUAGGAGAUCCUCUAUAAACUAGUAUUUGUAUAUGCAUCAA
Long non-coding RNA from Brachypodium distachyon (stiff brome), 657 nucleotides. RefSeq lists it as uncharacterized. The record is from RefSeq and is a predicted model, not a curated record. The transcript has 2 exons. Lineage: Eukaryota; Viridiplantae; Streptophyta; Magnoliopsida; Poales; Poaceae.